GAUGAACGCUGGCGGCGUGCCUAAUACAUGCAAGUCGAGCGAACGGACGAGAAGCUUGCUUCUCUGAUGUUAGCGGCGGACGGGUGAGUAACACGUGGAUAACCUACCUAUAAGACUGGGAUAACUUCGGGAAACCGGAGCUAAUCCCGGAUAAUAUUUUGAACCGCAUGGUUCAAAAGUGAAAGACGGUCUUGCUGUCACUUAUAGAUGGAUCCGCGCUGCAUUAGCUAGUUGGUAAGGUAACGGCUUACCAAGGCAACGAUGCAUAGCCGACCGGAGAGGGUGAUCGGCCACACUGGAACUGGGACACGGUCCAGACUCCUACGGGAGGCAGCAGUAGGGAAUCUGCCGCAAUGGGCGAAAGCCUGACGGAGCAACGCCGCGUGAGUGAUGAAGGUCUUCGGAUCGUAAAACUCUGUUAUUAGGGAAGAACAGAUGUGUAAGUAACUGUGCACAUCGUGACGGUACCUAAUCAGAAAGCCACGGCUAACUACGUG
This 497-nucleotide ribosomal RNA is filed under the name uncultured bacterium. Its description in RNAcentral is "partial 16S ribosomal RNA". It matches the Rfam family "Bacterial small subunit ribosomal RNA", at positions 28 to 507 of the family's 1533-position model. The record is from RNAcentral.